GGGGCUAUUCUGGAUUCGACGGGAUUUGCCGAAACCCAGGUGCAUGCCGAGGGCGGUUGGCUAUCGUAAAGCCGCAAAAAUGGUCGCAAACGACGAAACUACGCUAACAGCAAUAACCUGCUUAAGAGCCCUCUCCUAGCCUCCGCUCUUAGGACGGGGAUCAGAGAGUCAGAGCCAAAAGAAGAUAAGCGCGGAUGCCCUGCACGGGGUUGAAGCGUUAAAACGAAUCAGGCUAGUCUGGUAGUGGCGUGUCCGUCACGCAGGUGCCGGGCGAAUGUAAAGAACUUUGACUAAGCAUGUAGUACCGAGGAUGUGGAAUUUCCGGACGCGGGUUCAGCUCCCACGCCAGCUCCGCAA
Molecule: transfer-messenger RNA, 357 nt
Filed under: Salmonella enterica subsp. enterica
Lineage: Bacteria; Pseudomonadati; Pseudomonadota; Gammaproteobacteria; Enterobacterales; Enterobacteriaceae
Rfam family: transfer-messenger RNA
About the family: Bacterial tmRNA, also known as 10Sa RNA or SsrA, is named for its dual tRNA and mRNA-like properties.
Source: RNAcentral